GUUUCCGAGAAAAUGCAGGAAAUUAAAAAGGAAAAGGCAAAUAUAAGUGGACAAAUUGUUGUAAAAUAUAUGCACUAGACUUAAAAAUUUUUGUUUCCUCAGCUCUGAGAAAUUAAAAAAACUCGUAAUUUCUCUUCUUUUUGCCUGCAUUUUUCACUCAAUACAAGAAACCAAGCUACAGGGAAUGGGGAAAAAGAGAGACAAAAUCAAUCAAGAUAAAAACUAGUAAUGCCUGAACUAAAAGAGAGGCAUCAUUAUAUCAGAAACCAAAAGCUUAGAAAAUUGCAAAACAAGUCUCACCCAAAUGUAGUCCUCUACAUGGU
RNAcentral lists this unclassified non-coding RNA (323 nucleotides) under Hevea brasiliensis (rubber tree). Lineage: Eukaryota; Viridiplantae; Streptophyta; Magnoliopsida; Malpighiales; Euphorbiaceae. The record is from RNAcentral.